UUCUUCCCCUCCAGAUCAAUGUGGCCAUCAGAUCAUCACUGCAGAAUCUCAGGGAGAAGAUUGAUCAGCUGAAGGAGUUGCUGCUUCGGGCGGUGUCAACACGGCAAAUCACACAGCUGGAGGGGGACAGGAGGCAGAAUUUGGUGGACGACCUUCUCACACGACAUAAACAACUUGAGG
Molecule: long non-coding RNA, 180 nt
Organism: Corapipo altera (White-ruffed manakin)
Lineage: Eukaryota; Metazoa; Chordata; Aves; Passeriformes; Pipridae
Exons: 2
Source: RefSeq, a predicted model, not a curated record